RNAcentral lists this ribosomal RNA (253 nucleotides) under uncultured bacterium. Its description in RNAcentral is "partial 16S ribosomal RNA". It matches the Rfam family "Bacterial small subunit ribosomal RNA", at positions 524 to 776 of the family's 1533-position model. The record is from RNAcentral.
UACGUAGGGGGCAAGCGUUGUCCGGAUUUACUGGGCGUAAAGAGCGUGUAGGCGGCCACGCAGGUCCGUUGUGAAAACUGGAGGCUCAACCUUCAGACGUCGACGGAAACCGUGUGGCUAGAGUCCGGAAGAGGAGAGUGGAAUUCCUGGUGUAGCGGUGAAAUGCGCAGAUAUCUGGAGGAACACCGGUGGCGAAGGCGGCAUUCUGGACCGACAUUGACGCUGAGGAGCGAAAGCCAGGGGAGCAAACGGG